CCAAACGGGUGGUAAACAUCACCUAAGGCUAAAUAUCGGCGAGAGACCGAUAGCGAACAAGUACCGUGAGGGAAAGAUGAAAAGAACUUUGAAAAGAGAGUUAAACAGUACGUGAAAUUGUUGAAAGGGAAACGAUUGAAGUCAGUCGUGCUGGCGCGAAAUCAACCCUUUAGUCGAAAGGUCACACGGCGUGGCGAGCCUCUAAACCGUCACGAAGCGGGACCCCUUGAUGAAAGGGAGCACUUUCGUGUCCGCUGGUUUACAUCAAUUUCGAUCGUCAUAAAAAGGCUGGAGGGAUGUGGCUCCUUCGGGAGUGUUAUAACCUUUAGCGGAAUGUGGUGGUCGGGAUUGAGGAUUGCAACGAAUACCUUCGGGGCUGUUCCACCUGGCCUCUCUUUGGUAUCCUGGUGACGACAGCUUGCUGACGUCGUUAGGAUUCGCCUUUGAACAGGCUAGAGUGUGAGCAA
This 467-nucleotide ribosomal RNA is filed under the name Entrophospora claroidea. RNAcentral describes it as "partial 26S ribosomal RNA". It matches the Rfam family "Eukaryotic large subunit ribosomal RNA", at positions 288 to 630 of the family's 3401-position model. The record is from RNAcentral. Lineage: Eukaryota; Fungi; Glomeromycota; Glomeromycetes; Entrophosporales; Entrophosporaceae.